Molecule: non-coding RNA, 302 nt
Filed under: Homo sapiens (human)
Lineage: Eukaryota; Metazoa; Chordata; Mammalia; Primates; Hominidae
Source: RNAcentral
GGAUCAUUGACAUUUAGGGAUGUGGCCAUAGAAUUCUCUCUGGAGGAGUGGCAAUGCCUGGACACUGCACAGCAGAAUUUAUAUAGAAAUGUGAUGUUAGAGAACUACAGAAACCUGGUCUUCCUGGGUAUUGCUGCCUUUAAGCCAGACCUGAUCAUUUUUCUGGAGGAAGGAAAAGAGUCCUGGAAUAUGAAGAGACAUGAGAUGGUGGAAGAAUCCCCAGUUAUAUGUUCUCAUUUUGCUCAAGAUCUUUGGCCAGAGCAGGGCAUAGAAGAUUCUUUCCAAAAAGUGAUAUUGAGAAG